GCCAGAAGUUUUCUUCCUCUUGCCCAGAGCAAGUUUUUGUAGUUGAAUAAAACCAACCAACCAACAACCAAACGAAAGUGAAGGAUAGUUUAGGAAGCACUAAAAAACGGGAACACUUGGAUACCUUCUCGUCUAAGCUCAUUGCCGUGUACGUGGCGUUUGCAAUAAAUCUCCUUCGACAAAGUCCUGGCCACCGGAAGCCUUUCAGAGAUCUAGUAACCCGUUACCUUUGGCGAGUAAGGAAGGAGCCAUUGAGGAUGGCUAAGAGCUGAGCUAUGGCGAUGUGAUGUGAGUACCAUUGCACAUGGAUGGCA
This 314-nucleotide long non-coding RNA is filed under the name Rattus norvegicus (Norway rat). RNAcentral describes it as "long non-coding RNA NONRATT032107". The record is from RNAcentral. Lineage: Eukaryota; Metazoa; Chordata; Mammalia; Rodentia; Muridae.